Molecule: ribosomal RNA, 488 nt
Filed under: uncultured bacterium
Lineage: Bacteria
Description: bacterial SSU rRNA
Rfam family: Bacterial small subunit ribosomal RNA
Source: RNAcentral
AGCGAACGUUUGCGGCGGGCCUAACACAUGCAAGUCGAACGCACUAGCAAUAGUGAGUGGCGCACGGGUGCGUAACACGUGGGUAAUCAACCCUUCAGCUUGGGAUAACGACUUGAAAGGGUCGCUAAUACCGGAUACGGCGAGAGAGGCUUCGGCAUUUCUCGAGAAAGCCUCGCAAGGGGCACUGAAGGACGAGCCUGCGGCCCAUCAGCUAGUUGGUGAGGUAAGAGCUCACCAAGGCGAAGACGGGUAGCUGGUCUGAGAGGAUGAUCAGCCACACUGGAACUGAGACACGGUCCAGACUCCUACGGGAGGCAGCAGUGGGGAAUAUUGCGCAAUGGGCGAAAGCCUGACGCAGCCACGCCGCGUGAGCGAUGAAGGCCUUCGGGUCGUAGAGCUCUGUGGGGAGAGACGAAGAAAGCCCGUGAAGAGCGGGUCUUGACGGGUAUCUCCUUAGCAAGCACCGGCUAACUCCGUGCCAGCAGCCG